AACGAACGCUGGCGGCAUGCCUAACACAUGCAAGUCGAACGAAACCUUCGGGUCUAGUGGCGCACGGGUGCGUAACGCGUGGGAAUCUGCCCUCUGGUUCGGAACAACAGGUGGAAACGACUGCUAAUACCGGAUAAUGACUUCGGUCCAAAGAUUUAUCGCCUGAGGAUGCGCCCGCGUCGGAUUAGCUUGUUGGUGAGGUAAAAGCUCACCAAGGCGACGAUCCGUAGCUGGUCGGAGAGGAUGAUCAGCCACACUGGGACUGAGACACGGCGCAGACUCCUACGGGAGGCAGCAGUGGGGAAUAUUGGACAAUGGGCGAAAGCCUGAUCCAGCAAUGCCGCGUGAGUGAUGAAGGCCUUAGGGUUGUAAAGCUCCUUUACCCGGGAUGAUAAUGACAGUACCGGGAGAAUAAGCCCCGGCUAACUCCGUGCCAGCCGCCGCGGUAA
This 449-nucleotide ribosomal RNA is filed under the name uncultured bacterium. Its description in RNAcentral is "partial 16S ribosomal RNA". It matches the Rfam family "Bacterial small subunit ribosomal RNA", at positions 29 to 523 of the family's 1533-position model. The record is from RNAcentral.